AUUCCUUACGGUGAUGGGGUUCACCGGAACCGCCUGCGGUCUCUACCCAGGCUGAUAACUCCUACGCACCC
Non-coding RNA from Nitrospira sp. ST-bin5, 71 nucleotides. NCBI's taxonomy places the organism in Bacteria, Pseudomonadati, Nitrospirota, Nitrospiria, Nitrospirales, Nitrospiraceae. The record is from Rfam.